UACGAAGGGGGCUAGCGUUGCUCGGAAUCACUGGGCGUAAAGGGUGCGUAGGCGGCGUGGUAAGUCGGAUGUGAAAUCUCGGAGCUUAACUCCGAAACUGCAUUUGAUACUGCGGUGCUUGAGGACUGGAGAGGAGACUGGAAUUCACGGUGUAGCAGUGAAAUGCGUAGAUAUCGUGAGGAAGACCAGUGGCGAAGGCGGGUCCCUGGACAGUUCCUGACACUGAGGCACGAAGGCCAGGGGAGCAAACGGG
This 253-nucleotide ribosomal RNA is filed under the name uncultured bacterium. Its description in RNAcentral is "partial 16S ribosomal RNA". It matches the Rfam family "Bacterial small subunit ribosomal RNA", at positions 524 to 776 of the family's 1533-position model. The record is from RNAcentral.